Molecule: ribosomal RNA, 254 nt
Filed under: uncultured bacterium
Lineage: Bacteria
Description: partial 16S ribosomal RNA
Rfam family: Bacterial small subunit ribosomal RNA
Source: RNAcentral
UACGUAGGGGCCUAGCGUUGUCCGGAUUUAUUGGGCGUAAAGAGCUCGUAGGCGGUUUGGUGAGUCGGGUGUGAAAUCUCCACGCUCAACGUGGAGGGGCCACCCGAUACUGCCAUGACUAGAGUCCGGUAGGGGAGUGUGGAAUUCCCGGUGUAGCGGUGAAAUGCGCAGAUAUCAGGUGGAACACCCGUAGCGAAGGCGGCACUCUGGGCCGGAACUGACGCUGAGGAGCGAAAGCGUGGGGAGCGAACAGG